This 468-nucleotide ribosomal RNA is filed under the name uncultured bacterium. Its description in RNAcentral is "partial 16S ribosomal RNA". It matches the Rfam family "Bacterial small subunit ribosomal RNA", at positions 28 to 507 of the family's 1533-position model. The record is from RNAcentral.
GACGAACGCUGGCGGCGUGCUUAACACAUGCAAGUCGAACGGAAAGGCCCUGCUUUUGUGGGGUGCUCGAGUGGCGAACGGGUGAGUAACACGUGAGUAACCUGCCCUUGACUUUGGGAUAACUUCAGGAAACUGGGGCUAAUACCGGAUAGGAGCUCCUGCUGCAUGGUGGGGGUUGGAAAGUUUCGGCGGUUGGGGAUGGACUCGCGGCUUAUCAGCUUGUUGGGGGGGUAGUGGCUUACCAAGGCUUUGACGGGUAGCCGGCCUGAGAGGGUGACCGGCCACAUUGGGACUGCGAUACGGCCCAGACUCCUACGGGAGGCAGCAGUGGGGAAUAUUGCACAAUGGGCGGAAGCCUGAUGCAGCAACGCCGCGUGCGGGAUGACGGCCUUCGGGUUGUAAACCGCUUUCGCCUGUGACGAAGCGUGAGUGACGGUAAUGGGUAAAGAAGCACCGGCUAACUACGUG